UACGUAGGCAGCAAGCGUUGUUCGGAGUUACUGGGCGUAAAGGGUGUGUAGGCGGUUGCUUAAGUUUGCUGUGAAAUCUCCCGGCUUAACCGGGAGGGUGCGGUGAAUACUGAGGGACUAGAGUACGGGAGAGGAAAGUGGAAUUCCUGGUGUAGCGGUGAAAUGCGUAGAUAUCAGGAGGAACACCGGUGGUGUAGACGGCUUUCUGGACCGUAACUGACGCUGAGACACGAAAGCGUGGGUAGCAAACAGG
RNAcentral lists this ribosomal RNA (253 nucleotides) under uncultured bacterium. RNAcentral's name for it is "partial 16S ribosomal RNA". It matches the Rfam family "Bacterial small subunit ribosomal RNA", at positions 524 to 776 of the family's 1533-position model. The record is from RNAcentral.